RNAcentral lists this ribosomal RNA (2496 nucleotides) under human gut metagenome. RNAcentral's name for it is "bacterial LSU rRNA". It matches the Rfam family "Bacterial large subunit ribosomal RNA", at positions 1 to 2524 of the family's 2925-position model. The record is from RNAcentral.
UUAAGCGACUAAGCGUACACGGUGGAUGCCCUGGCAGUCAGAGGCGAUGAAGGACGUGCUAAUCUGCGAUAAGCGUCGGUAAGGUGAUAUGAACCGUUAUAACCGGCGAUUUCCGAAUGGGGAAACCCAGUGUGUUUCGACACACUAUCAUUAACUGAAUCCAUAGGUUAAUGAGGCGAACCGGGGGAACUGAAACAUCUAAGUACCCCGAGGAAAAGAAAUCAACCGAGAUUCCCCCAGUAGCGGCGAGCGAACGGGGAGCAGCCCAGAGCCUGAAUCAGUGUGUGUGUUAGUGGAAGCGUCUGGAAAGGCGCGCGAUACAGGGUGACAGCCCCGUACACAAAAAUGCACAUGUUGUGAGCUCGAUGAGUAGGGCGGGACACGUGGUAUCCUGUCUGAAUAUGGGGGGACCAUCCUCCAAGGCUAAAUACUCCUGACUGACCGAUAGUGAACCAGUACCGUGAGGGAAAGGCGAAAAGAACCCCGGCGAGGGGAGUGAAAAAGAACCUGAAACCGUGUACGUACAAGCAGUGGGAGCACGCUUAGGCGUGUGACUGCGUACCUUUUGUAUAAUGGGUCAGCGACUUAUAUUCUGUAGCAAGGUUAACCGAAUAGGGGAGCCGAAGGGAAACCGAGUCUUAACUGGGCGUUAAGUUGCAGGGUAUAGACCCGAAACCCGGUGAUCUAGCCAUGGGCAGGUUGAAGGUUGGGUAACACUAACUGGAGGACCGAACCGACUAAUGUUGAAAAAUUAGCGGAUGACUUGUGGCUGGGGGUGAAAGGCCAAUCAAACCGGGAGAUAGCUGGUUCUCCCCGAAAGCUAUUUAGGUAGCGCCUCGUGAAUUCAUCUCCGGGGGUAGAGCACUGUUUCGGCAAGGGGGUCAUCCCGACUUACCAACCCGAUGCAAACUGCGAAUACCGGAGAAUGUUAUCACGGGAGACACACGGCGGGUGCUAACGUCCGUCGUGAAGAGGGAAACAACCCAGACCGCCAGCUAAGGUCCCAAAGUCAUGGUUAAGUGGGAAACGAUGUGGGAAGGCACAGACAGCCAGGAUGUUGGCUUAGAAGCAGCCAUCAUUUAAAGAAAGCGUAAUAGCUCACUGGUCGAGUCGGCCUGCGCGGAAGAUGUAACGGGGCUAAACCAUGCACCGAAGCUGCGGCAGCGACGCUUAUGCGUUGUUGGGUAGGGGAGCGUUCUGUAAGCCUGUGAAGGUGUGCUGUGAGGCAUGCUGGAGGUAUCAGAAGUGCGAAUGCUGACAUAAGUAACGAUAAAGCGGGUGAAAAGCCCGCUCGCCGGAAGACCAAGGGUUCCUGUCCAACGUUAAUCGGGGCAGGGUGAGUCGACCCCUAAGGCGAGGCCGAAAGGCGUAGUCGAUGGGAAACAGGUUAAUAUUCCUGUACUUGGUGUUACUGCGAAGGGGGGACGGAGAAGGCUAUGUUGGCCGGGCGACGGUUGUCCCGGUUUAAGCGUGUAGGCUGGUUUUCCAGGCAAAUCCGGAAAAUCAAGGCUGAGGCGUGAUGACGAGGCACUACGGUGCUGAAGCAACAAAUGCCCUGCUUCCAGGAAAAGCCUCUAAGCAUCAGGUAACAUCAAAUCGUACCCCAAACCGACACAGGUGGUCAGGUAGAGAAUACCAAGGCGCUUGAGAGAACUCGGGUGAAGGAACUAGGCAAAAUGGUGCCGUAACUUCGGGAGAAGGCACGCUGAUAUGUAGGUGAAGUCCCUCGCGGAUGGAGCUGAAAUCAGUCGAAGAUACCAGCUGGCUGCAACUGUUUAUUAAAAACACAGCACUGUGCAAACACGAAAGUGGACGUAUACGGUGUGACGCCUGCCCGGUGCCGGAAGGUUAAUUGAUGGGGUCAGCGCAAGCGAAGCUCUUGAUCGAAGCCCCGGUAAACGGCGGCCGUAACUAUAACGGUCCUAAGGUAGCGAAAUUCCUUGUCGGGUAAGUUCCGACCUGCACGAAUGGCGUAAUGAUGGCCAGGCUGUCUCCACCCGAGACUCAGUGAAAUUGAACUCGCUGUGAAGAUGCAGUGUACCCGCGGCAAGACGGAAAGACCCCGUGAACCUUUACUAUAGCUUGACACUGAACAUUGAGCCUUGAUGUGUAGGAUAGGUGGGAGGCUUUGAAGUGUGGACGCCAGUCUGCAUGGAGCCGACCUUGAAAUACCACCCUUUAAUGUUUGAUGUUCUAACGUUGACCCGUAAUCCGGGUUGCGGACAGUGUCUGGUGGGUAGUUUGACUGGGGCGGUCUCCUCCUAAAGAGUAACGGAGGAGCACGAAGGUUGGCUAAUCCUGGUCGGACAUCAGGAGGUUAGUGCAAUGGCAUAAGCCAGCUUGACUGCGAGCGUGACGGCGCGAGCAGGUGCGAAAGCAGGUCAUAGUGAUCCGGUGGUUCUGAAUGGAAGGGCCAUCGCUCAACGGAUAAAAGGUACUCCGGGGAUAACAGGCUGAUACCGCCCAAGAGUUCAUAUCGACGGCGGUGUUUGGCAC